This 253-nucleotide ribosomal RNA is filed under the name uncultured bacterium. Its description in RNAcentral is "partial 16S ribosomal RNA". It matches the Rfam family "Bacterial small subunit ribosomal RNA", at positions 524 to 776 of the family's 1533-position model. The record is from RNAcentral.
GACGAAGGUGGCGAGCGUUGUUCGGAAUCACUGGGCAUAAAGCGCACGUAGGCGGUGUCGUAAGUCGGGUGUGAAAUCCCUCGGCCUAACCGAGGAACUGCGCCCGAUACUGCGAUGCUUGAGGACCAGAGGGGUGCAUGGAAUUUCCGGUGGAGCGGUGAAAUGCGUUGAUAUCGCUAGGAACUCCGGUGGCGAAGGCGAGACGCUGGACCCUUUCUGACACUGAGGCGCGAAAGCCAGGGGAGCGAACGGG